CUUGCCUUGCCCAGAGUUCAGAGGGAGAGAGUAUUCAGGGUGGAAGGGAUUGUGUGUGUGUGUGUGUGUGUGUGUGUGUGUGUGUGUGUGUGUGUGCGCGUAAUCUUUUUUUUUUUUUUUUUAAAAACAUGGUCUCACUCUGUAGUCCUGGCUGAACUCACCUGGAAUUACGAUGACCAGGCUGGUCUUGAAUUCACAGAGAUCCUUUCACAUGCUGGGAUUCAAGGUGUGGAGCACCAGCCCGGCUGAAGGUGGAAACAUUGCCAGCAAGCAGGAAGACACUGAAAUCUGAAAUGGCCCGAGUGUUGGUCCCCAGCACGGAAAAGAAGGGAAGGGAGAAGCAGAAGGAAUAAAGAGAACGAGUUGUGGAGAUGAUUGCAGACACCGGACGGAGCAGGAUGCAGCGGCUGGCCGAGGCUUAGAUAAGCUGCUUACUCAGCCGUCUGUGAAUGCUUUCUGUGUGAAACACUGGCAUGGGGAGGCCUUGUGUGCUUGAACAGAUACAGUUCAAGGGUGAAACAUGGCAGACCCUAUGGAUUGGACCUCUCGUUUUGUUUUUAAACUUACACAUUUGUGAGCAUCUCCUGGAAACUUCAGCUUGUUUGCUCAGCGUUCUUUGUGUCUAGAGGAGGCCGUGUGACAGUGCUCUGGUGAGUGACGCAGUGAAAACUGUUAUGGCUUAAGAAGCUCCAUUUUAUGCCAGGCAUCCGUCUUGGUACCCACCAGCCAUUUGUCUCUGACUCCAGUCCCUGGAAUAAGUUCCUAGUAACCCUGACUCAGUGACCCCCACCCAAAAAUGAAUAGCCGUGACUAUCUACUUGUCAUACGACUAACGGUGAUUUUUUUUUCCUUCUGUGACUUGCUUAUACAGAUACCCAAGGGUUGUUUUUGAGUUGAUUUAACCUCUUAACUUGGCAGAACAGGCUAGUUUUUGCUUGCUUGUGUAGAUACUGAAGGUCUUCUUGCAGUUUUUGGCUUUUAAAAGCCUUCCUCAACCCCUUUCUCACAGCAAUCUCAAAUUUGGCUCAGAGACAGUUCAUCCAGCUAGCAGCUAAUCAAUAAAUCCUUUAGUUACAAUAGGAUGGAGCCCAUGCUCCAGGGAAGUUUCUAGGAAACUCUAUGUUGGCGAAAUGACAGCUGAUAUUGUUGACCCUUCUUUUCUCUUCCUUGAAUUUGGGUAUAAUUUCUGGAGCCAUUGACUGUUCCUGCAACCAUGGAGAAAUGCCCGGAACCAAUGCCAGCAGCUGCCUACCACUUCUGCAGGGUAAUAAGAAAGCCAAAACCUAUGCUUAAGCCACUGCUAGUUGAAUUUUUCUGUUGUUUGCAGGGAGAGCACUCCUAACAUAUAUGUUCUUGCAAAAUGCAGAUGGUUCUUAUUUCAUAAUGUUUUAUGAGGAUUAAAUACACAGAACAUCUAACAGUUACCUGAAUAGGCCAUUUUCAUAGCUCUUUGUCCAUCAUCCUACCUCCUGGAUCAACUUAGCUAUGUUUUAGAGGGAAACUGCAGUUGGAUCUUGUCUGGCAGGCCACACUCAAGUGCAGUGUUCUGAUUAGCAAAGUGUUAAUUUUAUAUACAGUGACAUAGAGUUAGGAUUACAUCUUCUGGUUGGUCUCAUACUCCAAUUUGUCAUGUUGACUUUUUGUGUGGCUCUCUUUCUGCAGAAAAGUCACUGCUCCAGCAUCUUCUUGGAGAGGGUGUAAUUAUGCUGAGCCCGUUUAAUUAUUUCCCUCUGGACCCAUUAAGUACCUUUUGCCUACCCAGAAACUCCCUUGUCAGUUUUCUACAAGCUCAAAAGGCCUGGCAUUAUUUGCUGUUUGUCUUUGUUAAUUUAGCUGCAGCCUAAAGCAGGACUGGGUACAUCCAGAAUGUAAGACUGCUAUCAGCAAACAUGGGUAUGACUGGAGAGACCUGCAUGGAAAUUCUUCCCCUGCAUGUGAACUUGAUUCUGGCGUUGCCCAUUUAUCUUAUAUUUGAGUUAUUUUUGGUCUUACAUGGUCUCUAUAAAAAUGCAUGCAUGCCUGACAGACUUCUAAGCUUGCUAGUACCUGGCUGAGUUAUGACAAUGUAGUGGAAAGUAGUUAAUAAAAAGAGAAAAUGUUAAAUGCGACUGGAACCUGCCUCUACAGGAAGAUGGGAAGGACCCUGAAAAGGAUGGAUGGGGACUUACUUUGUCCAUAUAAUUGUUUGGGACUUAAAAUAUGUAUCAAGCAGCCGGGAAUUGGUGGCACAGCCUUUAAUCCCAGUACUCAGGAGGCAAAGGCAGGCAGAUCUCUGUGAGUUGGAUUAUUUUUCUUACUGUGUGCCUAUUGUCUCUCUCAGAUGCCAUGAACACUCAUACCUCAGAGAUACUGCAGGCUUAGUUCCAGACCAUUCUGCUUCAAGAAAGUGUAUAUUGCAGGAAAGCAAGUCUCACAACUUGUUUUGGCUUUCAGUACGUAUACAAGUUGUGCUGUGUGUUACAGGAAUAAUAGCAUUGUGUGUCAAAUAACAUUGUAUAUGUCUCAAUUAAAAUAUUCUUUACUAAGAACUUGUUAACUAUUACCUCUGCCUUCAGCGAGUGAUGGUAUUUUUGCUGGUGGAAGUUUUGCCUUGAUGUUGAUAGCCUGACUGAACCAGCUUGUGAUGUUCAAUAG
This 2634-nucleotide long non-coding RNA is filed under the name Cricetulus griseus (Chinese hamster). RNAcentral's name for it is "lncRNA (ENSCGRG00015036263.1)". Lineage: Eukaryota; Metazoa; Chordata; Mammalia; Rodentia; Cricetidae. The record is from RNAcentral.